RNAcentral lists this small RNA (126 nucleotides) under Marmota monax (woodchuck). Lineage: Eukaryota; Metazoa; Chordata; Mammalia; Rodentia; Sciuridae. The record is from RNAcentral.
GCCGGGCAUAUUGACCAUGCCUGUAAUUCUAGCAACUUGGGAGGCUCAGGCAGGAGGACUGCAAGUUCAAGGGAAGCCUCAGCAACUUAGCAAGGCCCUAAGCAACAUAGUGAGACCCUGUCUCAA